RNAcentral lists this ribosomal RNA (491 nucleotides) under Blastocystis sp. Its description in RNAcentral is "SSU rRNA". It matches the Rfam family "Eukaryotic small subunit ribosomal RNA", at positions 460 to 953 of the family's 1831-position model. Lineage: Eukaryota; Bigyra; Opalinata; Blastocystidae. The record is from RNAcentral.
GGAGGUAGUGACAAUAAAUCUCAAUACGAAGCCUUUGGUUUUGUAAUUGAAUUGAGAACAAUGUACAAUCGUUAUCGAUAAACAAUUGGAGGGCAAGUCUGGUGCCAGCAGCCGCGGUAAUUCCAGCUCCAAUAGCGUAUAUUAACGUUGUUGCAGUUAAAAAGCUCGUAGUUGAAGUUUAGAUAAUUUGUUGAGGGUGUUAGUAUUCGUACUAUCUGCCCUCAAUAGAUUAUCGACUUCCAGGUAAGCUCAAUAAUCCCUCCGGGGACUAUCGAGCCAGACUGGUCUUUUACUGUGAGAAAAUUAGAGUGUUUAAAGCAGACUUUUAUUUAGUUUGAAUAGAUUAGCAUGGAAUAAUAAGAUUGGCUUUCAUAGUCGAUUUUUUGGUUUGUUUAUGAAAGCAAGAUUAAUAGGGACAGUUGGGGGUAUUCAUAUUCAAUAGCUAGAGGUGAAAUUCUAUGAUUUAUGGAAGAUGAACAAGUGCGAAAGCA